This 301-nucleotide ribosomal RNA is filed under the name uncultured bacterium. Its description in RNAcentral is "partial 16S ribosomal RNA". It matches the Rfam family "Bacterial small subunit ribosomal RNA", at positions 509 to 808 of the family's 1533-position model. The record is from RNAcentral.
CAGUAGCCGCGGUAACACGUAGGUCCCGAGCGUUGUCCGGAUUUAUUGGGCGUAAAGGGAGCGCAGGCGGUUUAGUAAGUCUGAAGUUAAAGGCUGUGGCUUAACCAUAGUACGCUUUGGAAACUGUUUAACUUGAGUGCAAGAGGGGAGAGUGGAAUUCCAUGUGUAGCGGUGAAAUGCGUAGAUAUAUGGAGGAACACCGGUGGCGAAAGCGGCUCUCUGGCUUGUAACUGACGCUGAGGCUCGAAAGCGUGGGGCGCAAACAGGAUUAGAUACCCGUGUAGUCCCUGUCUCUUAUACA